Molecule: transfer RNA, 70 nt
Filed under: Podarcis lilfordi (Lilford's wall lizard)
Lineage: Eukaryota; Metazoa; Chordata; Lepidosauria; Squamata; Lacertidae
Description: tRNA.Lys
Rfam family: tRNA
About the family: Transfer RNA (tRNA) molecules are approximately 80 nucleotides in length. Their secondary structure includes four short double-helical elements and three loops (D, anti-codon, and T loops).
Source: RNAcentral
GUGUGGCGCAAUGGGUCAGUGCAUCUACCUCUUAACCAGAAAGUUGGUGGUUCGAGCCCACCCAGGGAUG